UCGACUUAUGGUCGUCCAGGAGUCGGAGC
Molecule: small RNA, 29 nt
Filed under: Bombyx mori (domestic silkworm)
Lineage: Eukaryota; Metazoa; Arthropoda; Insecta; Lepidoptera; Bombycidae
Description: ovarian small RNA-28347
Source: RNAcentral